Molecule: ribosomal RNA, 253 nt
Filed under: uncultured bacterium
Lineage: Bacteria
Description: partial 16S ribosomal RNA
Rfam family: Bacterial small subunit ribosomal RNA
Source: RNAcentral
GACAGAGGGUGCAAGCGUUACUCGGAAUAAUUGGGCGUAAAGGGCGUGUAGGUGGUAGUCCAGGUUUGAUGUGAAAGCUCUCGGCUCAACCGAGAAAGUGCAUCAAAUACCAGAUUGCUAGAGUUAAAGAGAGGGCUGUGGAAUUUCCGGUGUAGCGGUGAAAUGUGUAGAUAUCGGAAGGAACACCAGUGGCGAAGGCGGCAGCCUGGCUUUAUACUGACACUGAGGCGCGAAGGCGUGGGGAGCAAACAGG